AAGAUACAAGCCUGGUUUUAUUUAUGUUCCCACUGGCUCAGCCUUAACAUGAUUCCACACGGAAGCAGACCAUAUUAUGGAGCCAGCUGGAAGGGUGGAAUCCUGCCUGUUCUCAAAAGACCACAGCAGGCAGAUUACUGUGCAGGAGAACUUCUUCAUCUGGUUGGGAAAAGCAGGGGCAAGAGUUCUACCCACAGGGGACACCUAUCAAAGGGAGGAACUCCUGGAGCUGACUGAGAUACAGGCUUAAGAUAGCAGCCUACAGGUAAUGGGAUUGAUGCCUCCUAACCAGUGAUUUUCCCAGCACUUCGUUCUCAACAAACAGGAAAAGCAACUUUUCAGAUUGGUGUGGGUAAUCUAAGCUUGUGUGUCCACGUUUUCAUCCAGCUGGAGAUGAAUUGGGUACAGUUUGGGGGAUGUCUAUCCAUGGUAAGUGUAAAACCCUAGAAACAAUAGGUUUUGACAAGGACUUUGGGUGCAGAUCUCUUUAGUGUGUUAUCCAGAAAACCAGACUUUAAAGAUGAAGCUUAAAAGGAAUUUUUUAUAAAAAACCCUGUCUCUACAUCUGUUAAAAGGCACAGUGCCCAAGCCUGGGCUAAAGCAAAGUACAGAGCUUCUCAACAGCUUAAGAACUUACAACAUCAGAUAAUUUAGUCCAUCUGGAGGUACAUAAAUACUAGAAAUUGCCAAACUAUUGCUCCUAAUUUGUAGUUCCUUAAAUGUGAAGGUUUGUCACCUGUCAAUGUAAAAAUCAAGGUACUUCUAAUAACAAACAUGAUUCUGAAUAUCUCAAAAUCUUUAAUUAGAGCCACACUGAAAAAAAAAAUUGUGCAUGGUAUAAUAUCCUCUACUAUUUGUGCUACUUUGUUGCAUUAAAUGUUCGCUCCAAGGCCCUGACAUUAUUCCCCACAUCCAUAAAGCAAUGCCACAUAAAAAUAUGAGAUGGUGUCCAAAAAUUUGCUGUGCUGGUACUUCCAUCUUCUCAGCAAUGAAUACUUAGUGCAGUACAUGUCCAUUAGGACAAGGCUUUAAGCGUCACUUAUAAGGAAACACUGAUUUUGCUUCUUAAUCCUCUGACCAGAUUUCAAAGUCAGAUCUAGCAAACAGAAAUUAGAUCACCUGUUAUCUCUUUAUCCUUUUCCUACCACAGCCUAAUGACUUGUUUGCAUUGUUCCCUACUGCUGGGCACCGUCUUGAUUAUUUCAAUGAUUUCUCCACAGUAAUCAACACUUGUUUCCUCAUCAGUGUGCUGGAUGAUUGGUUUCCAUUUCCCAGACUAAUUAUUUUACAUAUUUCUAUACCACACUCUUUACCAUCUGUUGACCCAAUUACCUAAAUGAUCCAAAUCCUCCUCAGUCUGGUUGUAGUUUCUCAUUAUUCCUUACAAAUUCCAUUUCAGUGACAUUUAUAAACCAUGAGGGCUUUUUUUUCAUUCUUUCUCUGUAUCAAUAGAUCUUAAGAUUUUAAUCUAGGGGGUCAGAUCCCACUGGAGAAUAUUCCAAAUCUGAUGCACAGGACACUUAUUGCUUCAAAUGAUAUUAGAGAUUAUACUAAUCAAGUUGGAGAGGGACUAUUAACAAGAGGAUGUGGUGACAGGACAAGGGAGAGUGGCUUCAACUAAAAGAGGGUAAGUUUAGAUUAAAUAUUAGAAAAAAUCCUUUUCUAUG
Molecule: non-coding RNA, 1667 nt
Organism: Zonotrichia albicollis (white-throated sparrow)
Lineage: Eukaryota; Metazoa; Chordata; Aves; Passeriformes; Passerellidae
Source: RefSeq, a predicted model, not a curated record